UGGGGAAUCUUGGACAAUGGGGGCAACCCUGAUCCAGCCAUGCCGCGUGAGUGAUGAAGGCCUUAGGGUUGUAAAACUCUUUCAGCGGGGACGAUAAUGACGGUACCCGCAGAAGAAGCCCCGGCUAACUCCGUGCCAGCAGCCGCGGUAAUACGGAGGGGGCUAGCGUUGUUCGGAAUUACUGGGCGUAAAGCGCGCGUAGGCGGACAGUCAAGUUGGGGGUGAAAGCCCGGAGCUCAACUCCGGAACUGCCCUCAAAACUGGAUGUCUGGAAUCCGGGAGAGGUGAGCGGAAUUCCUAGUGUAGAGGUGAAAUUCGUAGAUAUUAGGAAGAACACCAGUGGCGAAGGCGGCUCACUGGACCGGUAUUGACGCUGAGGUGCGAAAGCGUGGGGAGCGAACAGGAUUAGAUACCCCGGUAGUCC
This 424-nucleotide ribosomal RNA is filed under the name uncultured prokaryote. RNAcentral describes it as "bacterial SSU rRNA". It matches the Rfam family "Bacterial small subunit ribosomal RNA", at positions 355 to 796 of the family's 1533-position model. The record is from RNAcentral.